Molecule: non-coding RNA, 398 nt
Organism: Delphinapterus leucas (beluga whale)
Lineage: Eukaryota; Metazoa; Chordata; Mammalia; Artiodactyla; Monodontidae
Source: RefSeq, a predicted model, not a curated record
AGCCGAGCAUCCUUCCUCUGUGGAGAAUAGAGCUGCUGUUCUAGGACCAAACUUCACUGUGACAAACGACUCCAGUUUUAAACCAUCUCCUAGAGAAGGGCCAUGGCAGAUACCGCCAAUCAAUCAUGGCACUUCUUCCUGCUAAGAUCUUCAGUUCUUUUAUGCUGAGAUCUACAAAAUUAUGAAGACCACCUCUUCCUGUGUCUUAAAGUACGCACUCCACGCCGUCCACACUUGGCGUGUGAUGAAGCAGUGGACGCUGAUGAGAUCUGCCGUCUUCAAACCUGAAGUGCAGCAAUCACUGAGAGCACAAACCAACCCCAAACCAGCAAUGAGCAGAGUCUAAAGUACUUACCAAGCCUUGAGAUGGAUCUGGUAGAGAAAUUUUAUUUUGAAAA